GACGUAGGGCGCGAGCGUUGUCCGGAUUUAUUGGGCGUAAAGAGCUCGUAGGCGGCUGCUCAAGUCGAAUGUGAAAACUCGAGGCUCAACCUCGAGCCUGCAUUCGAUACUGGGCGGCUAGAGUCUGGUAGGGGGAUCUGGAAUUCCUGGUGUAGCGGUGGAAUGCGCAGAUAUCAGGAGGAACACCGGUGGCGAAGGCGGGUCUCUGGACAGUUCCUGACACUGAGGCACGAAGGCCAGGGGAGCAAACGGG
This 253-nucleotide ribosomal RNA is filed under the name uncultured bacterium. RNAcentral describes it as "partial 16S ribosomal RNA". It matches the Rfam family "Bacterial small subunit ribosomal RNA", at positions 524 to 776 of the family's 1533-position model. The record is from RNAcentral.